GCCCGCACUCACCGGCAGCGCAGCGGGCCGGGCCGGGUGCAGGACCGUGGGUGCUGGGUGUGCAGGAAGCUGGCCGGCCAGACACUAGGCCGACAAACCGCACAAAGCAGAUCCGCGUCGCGUCUUCUCCAGCCACGAGCGGAGCCCGCUGUGGAUCUAGAGAACGAGGCCGUGAGGGCGGGCCUACCGCAGCACUCACGUGUGCAUCCUGGUCUUGUGAACUACAUGUAGAACAGGGACAUGAGCGAGGAGAACUUCUCGCUGCCCUAAAAACACAGCAGAGCUGGCACAGCCAGCUGCUGGCACAAGGCAGUGUCUGGGACACCAGAGUACUAGGAAAUGCAGGCCCCAUGCUGCCAGCCACUCCGAUGCUUCCUCAGAAGUCUGGUAUCUGGAGGUUUAGGAGGGCGGCUCUCCGGAAACAGGAAGUGCCCUUCGGGGUUCUCAUUUGUAAAGGCACAAGUUGUUUAAGAUAAAACUCCAAGCGCCCCCGCCCACCGUCUACCUAGAAGACAAGAGACCUUGCAGGUCAAUGCGUUUUAAGUACGGAAACCAAGGAGGGUCACACAGGCAGGAAGUGACCGCCACGGGGCUGGAACCUACGUCUUUGAUUCCAGAAACCCAGCUCCGAAGCACCAGGUUAGAGCA
This is a long non-coding RNA of Suricata suricatta (meerkat), 648 nucleotides long. RefSeq lists it as uncharacterized. The record is from RefSeq and is a predicted model, not a curated record. Lineage: Eukaryota; Metazoa; Chordata; Mammalia; Carnivora; Herpestidae. The transcript is spliced from 3 exons.